GAGUAAUGUCUGGGAAACUGCCUGAUGGAGGGGGAUAACUACUGGAAACGGUAGCUAAUACCGCAUAACGUCGCAAGACCAAAGAGGGGGACCUUCGGGCCUCUUGCCAUCGGAUGUGCCCAGAUGGGAUUAGCUAGUAGGUGGGGUAACGGCUCACCUAGGCGACGAUCCCUAGCUGGUCUGAGAGGAUGACCAGCCACACUGGAACUGAGACACGGUCCAGACUCCUACGGGAGGCAGCAGUGGGGAAUAUUGCACAAUGGGCGCAAGCCUGAUGCAGCCAUGCCGCGUGUAUGAAGAAGGCCUUCGGGUUGUAAAGUACUUUCAGCGGGGAGGAAGGGAGUAAAGUUAAUACCUUUGCUCAUUGACGUUACCCGCAGAAGAAGCACCGGCUAACUCCGUGCCAGCAGCCGCGGUAAUACGGAGGGUGCAAGCGUUAAUCGGAAUUACUGGGCGUAAAGCGCACGCAGGCGGUUUGUUAAGUCAGAUGUGAAAUCCCCGGGCUCAACCUGGGAACUGCAUCUGAUACUGGCAAGCUUGAGUCUCGUAGAGGGGGGUAGAAUUCCAGGUGUAGCGGUGAAAUGCGUAGAGAUCUGGAGGAAUACCGGUGGCGAAGGCGGCCCCCUGG
This 628-nucleotide ribosomal RNA is filed under the name Escherichia coli. Its description in RNAcentral is "bacterial SSU rRNA". It matches the Rfam family "Bacterial small subunit ribosomal RNA", at positions 108 to 732 of the family's 1533-position model. The record is from RNAcentral. Lineage: Bacteria; Pseudomonadati; Pseudomonadota; Gammaproteobacteria; Enterobacterales; Enterobacteriaceae.